AAGGAAAGAAGCCGGCGCCGGGAAGCCCACGGCCAACAACUGUAGGAGCUGGUGGGGGAGCUGUCAAGAGAACCCCCGGGUGGAACCUCUGGGAAGGGGACGCGUGCGCCGAGGGGCGCGGAUCUGCGGGGACCUGCGCGGCAAGGGCGGCCCGGGGACGGCGGCGGAAGCUCGGGUGAGAGGCGCGCGGGGAACAGGGUGCCCGGGAGGGGGCUCGCGCGCCGCCGCACGGCCCGGAGGGUGGAGACCGGAGCCGGCGCCCGCGGGAGGCAGGGCGGAGCGAAGCCCAGCGCGGGGCCAGGGUGGCCGGCGCCCCCGGGCAGCGAGAGCCCCGCAGAACUCGAGGGGGCGGAGUGCGCGUCCCAGCGCGUCCCGUGCGGUGACAGCGCGCGUCCCGUCCCCCGCCCGACCCGCUCACCUGGGCUCGCCGCUCGCAGCCGCCCGGCAGGCAGUCCCGGCCCUCCGCCUCCCAGUCCGGCCGCCGGCCGCCGCGCUCCGCCAGCGCCUCCUUUUGUUUGUCCCUCACUGCACCACUCUGCCUCCCCCGCCCCGGAAGUGACGUCACGGCCGGACGCACCCGCGGCCUCCCGGCCGCCGCCAUCUCUGCGAAGGGGAAAAGCUUGAGGCCGCUUCGCCCUACUCCCUGCCACGCGCCUGCGCCAAGCCACUUCGGGGCGGAAGUAACGGGGCCGAGCUAAGCCCCCUUAAAGGGACAGGGAUCCCUGCAAGUUAAGGGAUGCGUUACUCCGGCAAGAGCGGCCAAGUGACCCAAGCCGUCGCCAGCGUCCGCUCACCUCCUUUGUUCGGGUUCCGAUCGCCCUUGGGCCAGCGUCCUCAUACCUUUAGUGCUGCUCGUUAGCCGACUAGCUGCCCGAACGCUGCAGGUGCCCGCCUAUGUAACUGCCCUGCUGAUAACCGAUGCGCGACCCGACACGUCCGGCUUGCGACGGUUGCCCCUGAAAAGCCGCAUAAUUCCGAGUUAACUAAAUGGCUUCUCCGCCGCCGCUGCAAUGAAUACUGUUGAACUGAAUUUAAAAGUUUAUUUGGGGAUUAGCCGCUCCCGGGCGAGUCCACUGUCUCACACUAGGAGGACUUUGAAGUCGCCGGACUGGACUGGGUUAGGAACUUUUUGUAGGAGAGGGGAGAGGGGUAGUGCCGGGCUUGGGAAGGUGUUGGAGUUUGGGGAUCCCGUAGGUGUGUCCUGAGUCCAGUGGUCACUUUGGAACUAAGUAUCUGCUUUAUCCAGUAUUUUGCCCCGACUUUUGUAAGCAAGGGCUUCUGGUGGGGAUCUCUUUGUCGGGUUCCCCGGCUUCUGGCAGGAGAUAGAGGGUUGGCACAGUGAGUGAGGGGGAUUUUCCAUCGGGAAAGCUCCAGCCUAUGGUUAGCAGCGAUUUCUGAGCUGAGCUGAGCUCACACACAUCUGAGUAACACCACAUCUUCAGAACC
RNAcentral lists this long non-coding RNA (1446 nucleotides) under Mus pahari (shrew mouse). RNAcentral's name for it is "lncRNA (MGP_PahariEiJ_G0003254.1)". Lineage: Eukaryota; Metazoa; Chordata; Mammalia; Rodentia; Muridae. The record is from RNAcentral.